Molecule: long non-coding RNA, 2569 nt
Filed under: Homo sapiens (human)
Lineage: Eukaryota; Metazoa; Chordata; Mammalia; Primates; Hominidae
Description: TSNAX-DISC1 readthrough (NMD candidate), transcript variant 8 (TSNAX-DISC1)
Source: RNAcentral
ACGUGAGAGGAGACUUCCGGCCACUGCGUUGUAGUCGGCCCGGCUGCAAAGCGUUUUUCUGCAGGCUGUUUUCCCAGGUUCCCUCGGCCUGUACCUCGCGCACUCCUCUUGCUCCAGGUCCUUCAGUCUCCGCUCGUCUCACCGUAGGCUGUGACGACAUGAGCAACAAAGAAGGAUCAGGAGGGUUCAGGAAAAGGAAGCAUGACAAUUUCCCACAUAACCAAAGAAGAGAAGGGAAGGAUGUUAAUUCAUCUUCACCCGUGAUGUUGGCCUUUAAAUCAUUUCAGCAGGAACUUGAUGCAAGGCAUGACAAAUAUGAGAGACUUGUGAAACUUAGUCGGGAUAUAACUGUUGAAAGUAAAAGGACAAUUUUUCUCCUCCAUAGGAUUACAAGUGCUCCUGAUAUGGAAGAUAUAUUGACUGAAUCAGAAAUUAAAUUGGAUGGUGUCAGACAAAAGAUAUUCCAGGUAGCCCAAGAGCUAUCAGGGGAAGAUAUGCAUCAGUUCCAUCGAGCCAUUACUACAGAAGUUUACAGGCAAGAUCCUACUCACAGAGGCUCUUGGGAUCAAGGCUGACAGAAGCUCCAUCUGAAGACUUUUAUACUAUAGAGGCAGAAAAAGAGUGAUGAAUCAAGCACUGGCUUCUAAAGCUUCCGCCCAGAUGGGAAGCAUAUCUCCUCUGCUCACAUUUCCCUGACCAAAGCCAGUCACAUGGCCAUCCUCAGCUUCAGAGAGGUUGGGAAGGCAUUCCCACUAUGUGUCUGGAUGCCAGCAACUCAGAAAUAUUUGCCUUACAGAGACCUCACCAUUAACAGCAUCUGCAAGAGAAGAUUAAAGCACACGAUUACUUUACUCACUGUGUAACACAUGAGGAACAUGGACGAGAUGGGAAAAAGGCAGCCGGGAUUGCUUACCACCUGCAGCGUGCUUUCGGAGGCGGCGGCUGGCACGGAGGCCGGGCUACAUGAGAAGCUCGACAGGGCCUGGGAUCGGGUUCCUUUCCCCAGCAGUGGGCACACUGUUCCGGUUCCCAGGAGGGGUGUCUGGCGAGGAGUCCCACCACUCGGAGUCCAGGGCCAGACAGUGUGGCCUUGACUCGAGAGGCCUCUUGGUCCGGAGCCCUGUUUCCAAGAGUGCAGCAGCCCCUACUGUGACCUCUGUGAGAGGAACCUCGGCGCACUUUGGGAUUCAGCUCAGAGGUGGCACCAGAUUGCCUGACAGGCUUAGCUGGCCGUGUGGCCCUGGGAGUGCUGGGUGGCAGCAAGAGUUUGCAGCCAUGGAUAGUUCUGAGACCCUGGACGCCAGCUGGGAGGCAGCCUGCAGCGAUGGAGCAAGGCGUGUCCGGGCAGCAGGCUCUCUGCCAUCAGCAGAGUUGAGUAGCAACAGCUGCAGCCCUGGCUGUGGCCCUGAGGUCCCCCCAACCCCUCCUGGCUCUCACAGUGCCUUUACCUCAAGCUUUAGCUUUAUUCGGCUCUCGCUUGGCUCUGCCGGGGAACGUGGAGAAGCAGAAGGCUGCCCACCAUCCAGAGAGGCUGAGUCCCAUUGCCAGAGCCCCCAGGAGAUGGGAGCCAAAGCUGCCAGCUUGGACGGGCCUCACGAGGACCCGCGAUGUCUCUCUCGGCCCUUCAGUCUCUUGGCUACACGGGUCUCUGCAGACUUGGCCCAGGCCGCAAGGAACAGCUCCAGGCCAGAGCGUGACAUGCAUUCUUUACCAGACAUGGACCCUGGCUCCUCCAGUUCUCUGGAUCCCUCACUGGCUGGCUGUGGUGGUGAUGGGAGCAGCGGCUCAGGGGAUGCCCACUCUUGGGACACCCUGCUCAGGAAAUGGGAGCCAGUGCUGCGGGACUGCCUGCUGAGAAACCGGAGGCAGAUGGAGCUGAGACGUUACAACAAAGAUUAGAAGACCUGGAACAAGAGAAAAUCAGCCUGCACUUUCAACUUCCUUCAAGGCAGCCAGCUCUUAGCAGUUUCCUGGGUCACCUGGCAGCACAAGUCCAGGCUGCCUUGCGCCGUGGGGCCACUCAGCAGUGAGUACUUGUUAUUGUCACCAUUUUCCCCUCAUGUUUCUUCCUACCUCUCAGCUCCCACAUAGUGAAGAGCUGGGAGGAGCUUAGCUGUAGAGACCCUUGGCUGCCUUUCCUGGGAAGGGCCCUUUGUUGGUUGGGAAGGUGGGGAUUCUUCCAGAGUGAGAGAUGGCCCAUGUGGGUCAUGCAUCUCUAGAAAGAAGACUUUUCUGCCACUUGACAGAGAGAGAACCUUCUCAAGUGCAGCUGCAUCCCAGGUCUGAAGCAUCUCUUGGGAAACUACCCUUCUAAGAAGGUGGGGGUAAUUUCCUCUUGUUGAGGCAGCUUGGUGUCCUGUGAUCAUAUUAAGCCUGUAAGAUAAACAGAUGGUCCCCUCUGACCGAGCGAUGAAAAUCCAUCCUCCUCCUAACUCUGCCCUCCAGCUCCUGAGCAACAUUUGCUAUUUGUGUCACCCAAGGCUCUUCUGAGAUUAGUAAUAUAUAGAGAGCAGUUGCUGCUUCUAAUCCAGUGGCUUGUGGUCCUGGCUGCAUGUUUGAAUAACUUAGA